Molecule: small RNA, 125 nt
Filed under: Marmota monax (woodchuck)
Lineage: Eukaryota; Metazoa; Chordata; Mammalia; Rodentia; Sciuridae
Source: RNAcentral
GCUGGGCAUGGUGGCACAUGCCUGUAAUCCCAGCAGCUCAGGAGGCCGAGGCAGGAGGAUUGUGAGUUCAAAGCCAGCCACAGCAAUGACGAGGCACUAAGCAACUCAGUGAGCCCCUGUCUCUA